CGGACGGGUGAGUAACGCGUGGAAAACCUGCCGUAUACUGGGGGAUAACACUUAGAAAUAGGUGCUAAUGCCGCAUAAGCGCACAGCUUCGCAUGAAGCGGUGUGAAAAACUCUGGUGGUAUACGAUGGUUCCGCGUCUGAUUAGCUAGUUGGUGGGGUAAUGGCCUACCAAGGCAACGAUCAGUAGCCGGCCUGAGAGGGUGAACCGGCCACAUUGGGACUGAGACACGGCCCAAACUCCUACGGAAGGCAGCAG
RNAcentral lists this ribosomal RNA (256 nucleotides) under uncultured bacterium. RNAcentral describes it as "partial 16S ribosomal RNA". It matches the Rfam family "Bacterial small subunit ribosomal RNA", at positions 99 to 354 of the family's 1533-position model. The record is from RNAcentral.